Molecule: transfer RNA, 63 nt
Filed under: Ixodes nuttallianus
Lineage: Eukaryota; Metazoa; Arthropoda; Arachnida; Ixodida; Ixodidae
Description: tRNA-His
Source: RNAcentral
ACUUGAUUAGUUUAAAUUAAAAAUUAUAAAUUGUGGAUUUAUAGAUGAAAAAAUCAUUGAGUA